Molecule: RNA transcript, 1776 nt
Organism: Scylla paramamosain (green mud crab)
Lineage: Eukaryota; Metazoa; Arthropoda; Malacostraca; Decapoda; Portunidae
Exons: 6
Source: RefSeq, a predicted model, not a curated record
AAGAUCUUGGCGGAUCCCUGCCCCUGCUGUAUUCUUCCUCGCCCCUCAGACCUCCACACUGCCCUGACCCUUCCCUGUCUCUCUUCCGUCACCCAGGCCACGGUGAGAGGGGGCCGCCCAGCCAGAGACCAGUGGACGAGCACACACACACACACACACACACACAUCAUCCCAGCAAGGAGCAACAGGCACCUACUCACCAAAGAACAAGUUGGCAUUGUCUGCAGUGAGCCACAGAGUCAGUUGGAAGCGUGAUGUAAGAUUCUCCACCUCAACCUUUAUCUUGAUGAAGGGCUUGACCUCGGCAGCAAGGAACUGUGGUGCUGUCCCCUGUGGUUGCUCCUUACCAUCCCCUUCCAUUGGUUGUGCUGGUAAAUAAUUGAACACCCUUGGCCUGGCAACUUCCCUGAUGAUCUCAACCUAACAGAAAACAUCUGGGAAAAGACCAAGUCCAGGUUGCAGAACUAUGUCUCCUCAGUACUGAAGCUCAAGGAUGCCAUCCAGCAGCUGUGGGACUCCAUGCCUCAAACAUAAUGAUGGAAACUGUAAGGAACCUUACAGACUCCCUCCCAUACAGUUUCUUAGAAGUCAUUAAGUGCAAAGGAUAUCCCAGAAGUCAUUAAGUGCAAAGGAUAUCCCAUAAGUAGAAGUUACAUCAAUUGUCACUGACAGUAGAACCAGCAUUGGUGAAUACCUAUAAGCAAGUCAACCCAUAAGCAAGUAGUGUUGACAAGCUCCAGGCAGAAGCAUCAAAGCUGCCAUGAUAUCAUAUUUGUCCAGAAAGGAAGGCAUCUGGUAACCAAGUCACCUCUACACCAGCAGUCCUCCCCGGCAAUGACUCUGAUGUCUGUGAUGGCAGCCUCAACACGGUGGACCUCUCCAACCUUUCCCUGGAAGUAGAAGGUCUCCAGGCUGGACUCCUUUGCCUCCCCCACCACCUCUGGAUGCACCACACAUAAAGAGGAACAAAACACAUUAUGAAAGGAGGAAAAUUAUAGCCACUAGAGUUCCAAUUCACUUUAUAGUUAUCAUGCAAUCAAUAUGGAACAAUAUGAAGCAAUAUUAUAAAUGUUAACACUAAAAUCAGCACUUGAAGUGUAAGUAAGAAGCUUAUGUUGUGCAUAAAACUUGUAAUGAGUGACAUCACACACAUGACAAGUAUAUAAUAUGGAAAUCAAAAACAUUUUAGAAAUGACUGCCAGUAAUGAUCAGGAUUCAAUGCUCACCUGUGUGAAACUUUAGUGUGGUUGUCUGGAGUGCAGCAGGCACAGGCAUAUCUGCACUACCAGCCUGGAGUGGAAAAGUAGUGUGCUUUUUUAUUUCAUUCAUUUACAUUCACUUUAACUAACAUGAUUAAAUGUAUUUCUGACAGUGCCACACAGCCAUCAGCCAAAUGGGUAAAAUUUAAUGGGGAUGACUGAAGUGUAUUUUCACAGAAGCACAUGUCCCUGUGGAUUUGUCUGUUUAUCCUCAAUUUAGUCAUAUCAAUCAUAAAAUCCUUAAUUUAGUCAUGUCGAUCAUGAAAUGAGAACAAAAUAAACAAUAUGAGAGCUUAGCUAAAGUGACAAUGGAAAGGAGAGAUUGCUUUAUUAAAAAUUCAUAUUAUAACUGUACACAGGUAAUACUUUCAUUAUGAAGAGUUGAGCACUUACCUGAUAACACUGUGGUGUAUUUUUCAUUGUUUAAUAUGUUUAAUAUUUUGACAUGUAGCUUACUAUUGUAUCUCUUCGUCAUUGUAUUCUCACUCACUCAUGCAAUAUAUGUGUAUGCACAGGA